RNAcentral lists this antisense RNA (75 nucleotides) under Micromonospora zamorensis. RNAcentral's name for it is "ASpks TB sRNA". It matches the Rfam family "ASpks TB sRNA". The record is from RNAcentral. Lineage: Bacteria; Bacillati; Actinomycetota; Actinomycetes; Micromonosporales; Micromonosporaceae.
CUUGAGCGAUCCCAGCAGCAGCGGUUGGUCGGCCGCCCGACCCUGCCCGUACGUGGCCAGCAGCGCCUGCGCCUC